RNAcentral lists this ribosomal RNA (377 nucleotides) under uncultured bacterium. RNAcentral's name for it is "bacterial SSU rRNA". It matches the Rfam family "Bacterial small subunit ribosomal RNA", at positions 521 to 896 of the family's 1533-position model. The record is from RNAcentral.
UAAUACGAGGGGGGCGAGCGUUGUUCGGAAUUAUUGGGCGUAAAGGGUGCGUAGGCGGUUUGGUAAGUCUGAUGUGAAAUCUAUGGGCUCAACUCAUAGUCUGCAUCGGAAACUGCCGGGCUUGAGUGUGGGAGAGGUGAGUGGAAUUCCUGGUGUAGCGGUGAAAUGCGUAGAUAUCAGGAGGAACACCUGUGGCGAAAGCGGCUCACUGGACCAUAACUGACGCUGAUGCACGAAAGCUAGGGGAGCAAACAGGAUUAGAUACCCUGGUAGUCCUAGCCCUAAACGAUGACUGCUUGGUGUGACGGGUACCCAAUCCCGCCGUGCCGUAGCUAACGCGUUAAGCAGUCCGCCUGGGGAGUACGGUCGCAAGGCUG